Molecule: ribosomal RNA, 468 nt
Filed under: uncultured bacterium
Lineage: Bacteria
Description: partial 16S ribosomal RNA
Rfam family: Bacterial small subunit ribosomal RNA
Source: RNAcentral
GACGAACGCUGGCGGUGUGCUUAACACAUGCAAGUCGAACGGUAAGGCCCUUUCGGGGGUACACGAGUGGCGAACGGGUGAGUAACACGUGAGUAACCUGCCCUCAUCUCUGGGAUAACAGUCGGAAACGGUUGCUAAUACUGGAUAUGAGCUUGCAAGGCAUCUUGUGGGUUGGAAAGAUUUUUUUUGGUUGGGGAUGGACUCGCGGCCUAUCAGCUUGUUGGUGAGGUAGUGGCUCACCAAGGCUUCGACGGGUAGCCGGCCUGAGAGGGCGACCGGCCACAUUGGGACUGAGAUACGGCCCAAACUCCUACGGGAGGCAGCAGUGGGGAAUAUUGCACAAUGGACGGAAGUCUGAUGCAGCAACGCCGCGUGCGGGAUGACGGCCUUCGGGUUGUAAACCGCUUUCAAUUGUGACGAAGCUUUUUUGUGACGGUAGCAGUAGAAGAAGCACCGGCUAACUAUGUG